AUACGUACUGUGCGAACGUUAUUCGGAAUCACUGGGCUUAAAGGGUGCGUAGGCGGUUGUUUAAGUAGGGUGUGAAAUCCCCCGGCUCAACCGGGGAACUGCGCUCUAAACUGGACAACUUGAGUGAGAUAGGGGUGUGCGGAACUUCCGGUGGAGCGGUGAAAUGUGUUGAUAUCGGAAGGAACACCAGUAGCGAAGGCGGCACACUGGGUCUCAACUGACGCUGAGGCACGAAAGCUAGGGUAGCGAACGGGAUUAGAAACCCCGGUAGUCC
This 274-nucleotide ribosomal RNA is filed under the name uncultured bacterium. Its description in RNAcentral is "partial 16S ribosomal RNA". It matches the Rfam family "Bacterial small subunit ribosomal RNA", at positions 523 to 796 of the family's 1533-position model. The record is from RNAcentral.